RNAcentral lists this ribosomal RNA (253 nucleotides) under uncultured bacterium. RNAcentral describes it as "partial 16S ribosomal RNA". It matches the Rfam family "Bacterial small subunit ribosomal RNA", at positions 524 to 776 of the family's 1533-position model. The record is from RNAcentral.
UACGAGUGCCCCAAGCGUUAUCCGGAAUCAUUGGGCGUAAAGGGUGUGUAGGUGGUGUUGUUAGUCUUCUGUCAAAAUCUUGGGCUCAACCCAGGUCUCGCGGGAGAAACGGCAAUACUAGAGGAUGUGAGAGGUAAAGGGAACUCAUGGAGUAGGGGUGAAAUCCGUUGAUAUCAUGGGGAACACCGAAAGCGAAGGCACUUUACUGGCGCAUUCCUGACACUGAGACACGAAAGCGUGGGUAGCGAACGGG